RNAcentral lists this transfer RNA (73 nucleotides) under Stegodyphus mimosarum. It matches the Rfam family "tRNA". Rfam says of the family: Transfer RNA (tRNA) molecules are approximately 80 nucleotides in length. Their secondary structure includes four short double-helical elements and three loops (D, anti-codon, and T loops). Further hydrogen bonds mediate the characteristic L-shaped molecular structure. tRNAs have two regions of fundamental functional importance: the anti-codon, which is responsible for specific mRNA codon recognition, and the 3' end, to which the tRNAs corresponding amino acid is attached (by aminoacyl-tRNA synthetases). tRNAs cope with the degeneracy of the genetic code in two manners: having more than one tRNA (with a specific anti-codon) for a particular amino acid; and 'wobble' base-pairing, i.e. permitting non-standard base-pairing at the 3rd anti-codon position. The record is from Rfam by way of RNAcentral. Lineage: Eukaryota; Metazoa; Arthropoda; Arachnida; Araneae; Eresidae.
GCCUUUGUGGUGUAGUGGUCAGCACGCUGGGCGCGUAUUCCAGAGAUCCGUGGUUCGAGUCCUGGCGAAGGCG